AUGGUGCUUCUUCCCACGAAUCCCGAGGCGCUGCAACCCAAGGACUACAGGCCCAUCAGCUUGAUCUGUAGCUUCGCUAAAUUGGUCACUAAAAUCCUUGCGGCUCGGUUGCAGAGGAGGAUGCCAGAGCUUGUUAGACCCUGCCAGAACGCCUUCAUCAGGGGAAGGACCAUUCACGACAGUUUCAGCUAUGUCAGCGGCCUUGCAAGGGCGUUUCGUAGGGCAAAAACGCCUGUCCUCAUGGUUAAGUUGGACAUCCAGCGGGCUUUUGACACGGUGUCCUGGGAAUUUCUUAUCAAGUUGCUCGAGGCUCGAGGUGUGGGCCGGAGGGUGAUAGACAUGCUGGCAGCUCUGCUUCGCUCUUCCACCACCAAUAUCCUUGUCAAUGGGGAGCUAUCGGACAGCAUCAGCCAUAGAAGGGGCCUACGAUAG
Molecule: ribosomal RNA, 432 nt
Filed under: Triticum aestivum (bread wheat)
Lineage: Eukaryota; Viridiplantae; Streptophyta; Magnoliopsida; Poales; Poaceae
Description: partial small subunit ribosomal RNA
Source: RNAcentral